Molecule: ribosomal RNA, 447 nt
Filed under: uncultured bacterium
Lineage: Bacteria
Description: bacterial SSU rRNA
Rfam family: Bacterial small subunit ribosomal RNA
Source: RNAcentral
UCCAGACUCCUACGGGAGGCAGCAGUGGGGAAUAUUGCACAAUGGGGGAAACCCUGAUGCAGCGACGCCGCGUGGGCGAAGAAGUAUUUCGGUAUGUAAAGCCCUAUCAGCAGGGAAGAAGAAAUGACGGUACCUGAGUAAGAAGCACCGGCUAAAUACGUGCCAGCAGCCGCGGUAAUACGUAGGGGGCAAGCGUUAUCCGGAUUUACUGGGUGUAAAGGGAGCGUAGACGGCGAAGAAAGUCUGAAGUGAAAGCCCGCGGCUCAACCGCGGAACUGCUUUGGAAACUUUUUUGCUGGAGUACCGGAGAGGUAAGCGGAAUUCCUAGUGUAGCGGUGAAAUGCGUAGAUAUUAGGAGGAACACCAGUGGCGAAGGCGGCUUACUGGACGGUAACUGACGUUGAGGCUCGAAAGCGUGGGGAGCAAACAGGAUUAGAUACCCGCGUA